ACCGGCAGCUCAAGUGGUGGCCAUUUUUAUUGGGCCUAAAGCGUUCGUAGCCGGUUUGAUAAGUCUCUGGUGAAAUCCCGCAGCUUAACUGUGGGACUUGCUGGAGAUACUAGUAGACUUGAGGUCGGGAGAGGUUAGGGGUACUCCCAGGGUAGGGGUGAAAUCCCAUCAUCCUGGGAGGACCACCUGUGGCGAAGGCGCCUAACUGGAACCAACCUGACGUUAAAUAACGAAAGCCAGAGGCGCGACCCG
This 252-nucleotide ribosomal RNA is filed under the name uncultured prokaryote. RNAcentral's name for it is "partial 16S rRNA". It matches the Rfam family "Archaeal small subunit ribosomal RNA", at positions 475 to 726 of the family's 1478-position model. The record is from RNAcentral.